UACGGAAGGCAGCAGUGGGGAAUAUUGCACAAUGGGCGAAAGCCUGAUGCAGCUAUGCCGCGUGUAUGAAGAAGGCCUUAGGGUUGUAAAGUACUUUCAUCGGGGAGGAAAAACAAACUAAUAAUUUUAUUUCUUGACGUUACCCGAAAAAGAAGCACCGGCUAACUCCGUGCCAGCAGCCGCGGUAAUACGGAGGGUGCUAGCGUUAAUCAGAAUUACUGGGCGUAAAGAGCACGUAGGUGAUUUUUUUAAGUCAGAUGUGAAAUCCCUGGGCUUAACCUAGGAACUGCAUUUUGAAACUGAAAUACUAGAGUAUCGUAGAGGGAGGUAGAAUUCUAGGUGUAGCGGUGAAAUGCGUAGAUAUCUGGAGGAAUACCUGUGGCGAAAGCGGCCUCCUAAACGAAUACUGACACUGAGGUGCGAAAGCGUGGGGAGCAAACAGGGAUUAGAUACC
RNAcentral lists this ribosomal RNA (454 nucleotides) under uncultured bacterium. Its description in RNAcentral is "bacterial SSU rRNA". It matches the Rfam family "Bacterial small subunit ribosomal RNA", at positions 340 to 786 of the family's 1533-position model. The record is from RNAcentral.